Molecule: long non-coding RNA, 569 nt
Organism: Octopus sinensis (East Asian common octopus)
Lineage: Eukaryota; Metazoa; Mollusca; Cephalopoda; Octopoda; Octopodidae
Exons: 2
Source: RefSeq, a predicted model, not a curated record
UCCGCUUUCCAUGCUGGCAUGGGUUGGACGGUUCAACUGGGGUCUGGGAAUCCAGAAGGCUGCACCAGGCCCAGUCUGAUCUGGCAAUGUUUCUAUGGCUGGAUGCCCUGAGGCAAAUAAGCUUUGCAUAACCCUUGAAAUACCCUUGGAUUUCAGAGAAAUACAUGAGUAGGAGGCUUUAAUUUCAUAUCACCAGCAGCAUUUCCACCCAGAAGACGAAGCAGAUGAGUUUUGUAAGCUUUAAAUCCUGAUGUUGAUUUUUCUCCUCUUGAAAUAUGAGUGUAGUUUCAUCAACAUUAUAUACUUGUUCCCUUUAGCAAUAUUUUUUUUAUUUUUCAGCUGUUUAGGGUAAUUAGUGGUUGCUUUUAUAUCAGCACUGGAAACUUCAACAAUCAUUUUUAUGUUUUGCAAAUUCAAGCUCUUCUUAAGUCUUUCAAACCAACCUUUACUACCCAGAAAAAGUUUUUAUAUAAUUACCACCAUGCUUUUUGGCACAACACAUUGAGUCUGAUCUUCAGUCAGUAUAUCCAAGAGCCGUCCUAUUUUGAGCAUCACAUUAGAGCUAUGAA